Molecule: ribosomal RNA, 247 nt
Filed under: uncultured bacterium
Lineage: Bacteria
Description: partial 16S ribosomal RNA
Rfam family: Bacterial small subunit ribosomal RNA
Source: RNAcentral
UCCGGCCUACGGGGGGCAGCAGUGGGGGAUAUUGCACAAUGGGGGGAACCCUGAUGCAGCAACGCCGCGUGAAGGAAGAAGGGUUUCGGCUCGUAAACUUCUAUCAACAGGGACGAAAGAAAUGACGGUACCUGAAUAAGAAGCCCCGGCUAACUACGUGCCAGCAGCCGCGGGAAUACGUAGGGGGCAAGCGUUAUCCGGAAUUACUGGGUGUAAAGGGUGAGUAGGCGGCAUGGUAAGCCAGAUG